GCUAGUAUAAAAGAGUUCUAAAAUUUCAAAAGUAAAUCAACCCAACAACUAAUGAAUAGAAAGGAAGUUUGAAAAACACCUAAAACUUGCCAUACUACUAAUAAUAACUACUCUCAAAACACUAAAGUACAUUCAUACGUAGCACAAAAGUCUCAUGGUCAUUAUGUACUAUUGAAAUGAUUAUAGCCUCUCUUUCUGUUUUUUUUUCUUUUAUUUGUAAUUGCAAUUUUAUUAAUUAUAUAUACAAAUGUUGUCUUCACAAUUGCCAAUGUGAAAGCAAAAGACAACCAAAGAUGCUACUACUAUUCUAUUACAGCCGCACGUGCGCAGUCACGGACCUUAGCUAGUCUCCUUUGACACUUGCGGCCGAAAAUUGAUUCACGAGGCUUCACUUGGUUUAAAAAGGUUUGUGCAGGUGCAUGAACAUAUCCUGCAGCGGCGACAUCUGAUAACUGCUCUGGAACUGUGAACCUAACAAGCUAUUAUCCACUGUUGUGGCACCGGUAGUGGCAUCCAUGUAAUUAAACGGAAGAUCAAGGGUAGAUUUCUCCCAGUUAGUCAGCUUCGGCUCGCUCUGCACUUCCCUCUCGCACGUGAACUCCGGCGAGAGCACGUGCUCCGAGCAGCUCGAAUCGGAGUGGAUCUUCGGAACUGAAUCCGACGGGUCCAGGUAGAAGAAGUCGCUGUGUACUUGCUGCGGCGGCGGCGGAAGCGGUGGUAGAAUCUCCGGCUUCCGAUCCUCUGGAGAUUCUACCAUAUCCAUAUAGCUUGUGUUCAUUUUCCGGUUACUGAGUUGAUUCUUUUCAAUCGAACCCUUUUUGUUGUAUAUUCGGCAUAAAACCCAAUCAUCCAGCUGUAAACAAAUAGAAACCGUCAGAUCAAUCGAAAUUCAAUCUAGACCGUCAAAAAAAAUCGAUCAAUCCUAAUUCUGUUCUGUGCUCACCCUUAAGCUAUUGUUAUUCUUACGAGCAGAUCGAUCAACAUCAGCAAGUCUAUAUUCAUGCAUGAUCCAAUUAGUCUUCUCUCCUUUAGGAGCCUUGCCGGCGUAAAACACCAAUGCUUUCUUAAUUCCCAUUGGCUUCGGAUGUCCAAUCGGCUUAUCGGCACCAGUCGCUUUCCAAUAACCAGUUCCAGCAGCUCGAUUUGGGCGUGAACCGUUCGGAUACUUUCGGUCUCGAGGUGAAAAGAAGUACCAUUCUUUCUCCCCAUACAAUGCCAAAUCUGAAACAGAAAUACCAAAAUUUUGGUUAAUUCAAAAAUUCACCUUCAAAAUUUUCAACUGUUCUAUAUUAACAAAGGUGAAGGAGAACAUUACUUACGAGGAAGAUCCCAAGGGUCAUACUUGUAGAGGUCAAUUUCAGCAAUAAUUGGUACGGCAAUUGGCUGGGAGGCGCAUUUUCGGCAUAGAUAAUGCAUCACAAGCUCUUCAUCAGUUGGGUGAAAUCUGAAACCUGGAGGU
RNAcentral lists this long non-coding RNA (1459 nucleotides) under Nicotiana tabacum (common tobacco). Its description in RNAcentral is "long non-coding RNA (NTAB_LNC009601)". The record is from RNAcentral. Lineage: Eukaryota; Viridiplantae; Streptophyta; Magnoliopsida; Solanales; Solanaceae.